This 468-nucleotide ribosomal RNA is filed under the name uncultured bacterium. Its description in RNAcentral is "bacterial SSU rRNA". It matches the Rfam family "Bacterial small subunit ribosomal RNA", at positions 29 to 502 of the family's 1533-position model. The record is from RNAcentral.
AGUGAACGCUGGCGGCGUGCUUAACACAUGCAAGUCGAACGAGAACGGAUUAUAGCUUGCUAUAAUUGUCAGCUAAGUGGCGCACGGGUGAGUAAUGUAUAGGUAAUAUGCCUCUUACUAAGGGAUAACAAAUGGAAACGUUUGCUAAUACCUUAUACUCCUUAUUAACAGAAGUUAAUAAGGGAAAGAUUUAUUGGUAAGAGAUUAGCCUGUAUUGUAUCAGUUAGUUGGUGGGGUAAUGGCUUACCAAGACUAUGACACAUAACUGGUUUGAGAGGAUGAUCAGUCACACUGGAACUGAGACACGGUCCAGACUCCUACGGGAGGCAGCAGUGGGGAAUAUUGCACAAUGGACGAAAGUCUGAUGCAGCAACGCCGCGUGGAGGAUGACACAUUUCGGUGCGUAAACUCCUUUCAGCAGGGAAUAAGCGCAAGUGAAGGUACCUGCAGAAGAAGCACCGGCUAACU